GCACAAGCGGUGGAGCAUGUGGUUUAAUUCGAAGCAACGCGAAGACCUUACCAGGUCUUGACAUCCCGAUGCUAUUCUAGAGAUAGAAAGUUACUUCGGUACAUCGGUGACAGGUGGUGCAUGGUUGUCGUCAGCUCGUGUCGUGAGAUGUUGGGUUAGGUCCCGCAACGAGCGCAACCCCUAUUGUUAGUUGCCAUCAUUCAGUUGGGCACUCUAGCGAGACUGCCGGUAAUAAACCGGAGGAAGGUGGGAUGACGUCAAAUCAUCAUGCCCCUUAUGACCUGGGCUACACACGUGCUACAAUGGUUGGUACAACGAGUUGCGAGUCGGUGACGGCGAGCUAAUCUCUUAAAGCCAAUCUCAGUUCGGAUUGUAGGCUGCAACUCGCCUACAUGAAGUCGGAAUCGCUAGUAAUCGCGGAUCAGCACGCCGCGGUGAAUACGUUCCCGGGCCUU
This 455-nucleotide ribosomal RNA is filed under the name uncultured Streptococcus sp. RNAcentral describes it as "bacterial SSU rRNA". It matches the Rfam family "Bacterial small subunit ribosomal RNA", at positions 923 to 1382 of the family's 1533-position model. The record is from RNAcentral. Lineage: Bacteria; Bacillati; Bacillota; Bacilli; Lactobacillales; Streptococcaceae.